GCUUUCUUCAUCAUACCCAUUAGGGCUGUGUUUUGCUGUGUAGCCCUAGCAAUAAUCUCGGAGUGGUGAAUGGCCUGUAACAUCUUCAAAUAUACUUUUGUUAGGUCUAGAUCCUGAGGGUCAUUUGGAGAAGCCGAGGCAGUUUCCCUAGGGGCUGGCUUGAGUAGAUUUUGUUCCGCAGUCCCACACUUACCCGGGCUAUUUGGUUGAGCCAGCACUUCAAAUCUGUUACUCAGGGGUAAGGACAUGGUGGCUGUGCUGCUAAGAGAUCCGUAGUGAAAAGCAGAGGGUUUGUUAAACAGAUGAUAGUAUAAAAAAUAAAAUUAGGUAAUCAGUCAGUUAAAAUGAAACAAUAAUUAAAUUAAUGAUUAAAUUUCAUUUAAACAGAUCUGGUUAAAUAAAAACCAAAUUAAAUGAGCAUAAGAGAUACUUAAAAGAGGAUACUAAAACAAGGGGGGAACAAAAGGAUUAAAAGAGAAAGGGGUAGGGAAGAUAAGAGAGGAGACAACAGCACACUAGGUUAGCUUAAAAUACUUAGCAAGCACUUACAGUGCAGUAGAAAACAAUAAGGCUCCGUGAUAAUCCUGUAUUACCAAAACAGGGGGACACGUGUGUAAAAAAAAUCAGGAUUCAAAAAUAUCCUUGCAGGGCAAUCAUAAAUAGAAAAUAAAAGAUAUAAAAUAAAUAAAUAAUAAAAAGUCCUUCAGGGUGGGGAAUCCAUCCAAACAGGGGAUGAGUUUUGUUUAAAAUAGUUGAGGUUUGUGUCGAUGCUUGGAUUAGCUGGGGAGAGUUGUGUAGAGUCUUCAAACGUGAUGUUGUAUAAUCUUCUGUGUGCGCACACUCUUUUUCCUGUAGGUUAGUAGACAACACUCACCCAUUUGCUGAUCCAGGCCUGAGACCAGAUCCAGUAGGCCUCAAGCCUCAGUCCUCUGGUUAGACCCUGUUUGUUGAGAAAACCUGUCUGAAGUUAGUCUCUCUCAGAGGAUUAAAGGAAAGAAGGUCCCAACGUUUCGCCUGGAAGGCUUCUUCAGGGGAGCAAGAAGAGAGUGAAGGAUCCAGGCCUCUAUAUUCAUAUAGAUCAAGUCCAUGAGGGUGGAUCCUAGAAAUAAAAGGUUCCAUAUUGGCUCAUGGAGAAAAAGCAGAUUGAUAAAUGGUCCGGAGCUGGUUCAGUGAGAGGAGAGUACAAGUUUUGAAAGGAUAUGAAGGUUGUGUUAGGGAUCCUCAACUCUGGAGAUCCUGUUGGACCUGGAUUGGGGGCUCUUCCUCCUGAAAACCGGGAGGGGGGGGGUUUAUAGCUUUACUAGUUAGAGUUGGGUCCUCCAACAUAGUAAUAGGAUUAGGUCAAGGUCAGGUUAGGGUUGGGGCAGGGUCAAGGGUCAAGGGUCAGGUUAGUGUUAGGGCAGGGUCGAGGGUCAGGUUAGGGUUAGGGCAGGGUCCAGGGUCAGGUUAGGGUUAGGGCAGGGGCGGGGGUCAGGUUAGGGUUAGGGCAGGG
Long non-coding RNA from Lates calcarifer (barramundi perch), 1492 nucleotides. RefSeq lists it as uncharacterized. The transcript is spliced from 5 exons. Lineage: Eukaryota; Metazoa; Chordata; Actinopteri; Centropomidae. The record is from RefSeq and is a predicted model, not a curated record.